UUGCGAUGAUGACAUCUUAGGACACCUUUGGAUUCUCCAUGAAAACAAUAUUUGAUUCUGAGUGAC
Molecule: small nucleolar RNA, 66 nt
Filed under: Kryptolebias marmoratus (mangrove rivulus)
Lineage: Eukaryota; Metazoa; Chordata; Actinopteri; Cyprinodontiformes; Rivulidae
Description: Small nucleolar RNA SNORD58 (ENSKMAG00000016313.1)
Rfam family: Small nucleolar RNA SNORD58
About the family: snoRNA U58 is found in introns 1, 3 and 6 of the ribosomal protein RPL17 gene in humans. U58 is a member of the C/D class of snoRNA which contain C (UGAUGA) and D (CUGA) box motifs.
Source: Rfam by way of RNAcentral